Molecule: RNA transcript, 553 nt
Organism: Mastomys coucha (southern multimammate mouse)
Lineage: Eukaryota; Metazoa; Chordata; Mammalia; Rodentia; Muridae
Gene name: ADP-ribosylation factor-like protein 1
Exons: 2
Source: RefSeq, a predicted model, not a curated record
UCAUGGGUGGCUUUUUCUCAAGUAUUUUUUCCAGUCUCUUUGGAAUCAGGGAAAUGAGGAUUUUAAUUUUGGGGUUAGAUGGUACUGGAAAAACAACAAUUUUGUACAGAUUACAGGUUGGAGAAGUUGUUGGUACUAUUCCCACCAUUGGAUUUUGAUUUAAUGUAGAGAUGUUGACAUACAAAAAUCUCAAAUUCCAAGUUUGGACUUAAGAGGACAAACAAGUAUCAGACCAUACUGGAGAUGUUAUUAUUCAAACACAGAUGCAGUCAUCUAUGUCAUGGACAGUUGUGACCGAGACUGAAUUGGCAUUUCUAAGUCAGAGUUAGUUGCUAUGUUGGAGGAAGAAGAACUGAGAAAAGCCAUUUUAGUAGUGUUUUCAAAAAAGCAGGACAUGAAGCAGGCCAUGACGCCCUCAGAAAUGGCAAAUUCUCUUGGGUUACCUGCCCUGAAGGACUGGAAGUGGCAGAUCUUUAAAACAUCAGCAACCAAAGGCACUGGCCUUGAUGAGGCAAUGGAAUUGUUAGUCGAAACACUUAAAACCAGGCAGUGA